CAGACUCUGUCAUCCAUGUCUUUAUGGACCUUGUGUUACAUGGGGGGGGAUCGCAUCUUUCUGCGGGGUUCGUUCUCCAGUGAUGCAGACGGACGACUCCGGACCAGGCGCGCAGGCCAGUCAAGUUCAUCCCAAACCAGACUCUGUCAUCCGUGUCUUUAUGGACCUUGUGUUACGUGUGGGGAGGUGGCAUCAUUCUGCGGGGUUCGUUCUCCCGGGAUGCAGACGGACUAGAAGUCGGGCAGGUGGGGGGCCGCAUCUUUCUGCGGGGUUCGUUCUCCAGUGAUGCAGGCGGACGACUCCGGACAAGGCGCGCAGGUAGGAACAUGAUCUUAUCUUCAAAAAUCAAAUAUGAACCAGAAACAGAAAACGAGCAGAAAGAAAACGUGCCGAUCGCACGUAGGAACAUGAUCUAAUCUUCGAAAAUCAAAUACGUACCAAAAAC
Nerophis ophidion (straightnose pipefish) is the source of this 445-nucleotide long non-coding RNA. RefSeq lists it as uncharacterized. The record is from RefSeq and is a predicted model, not a curated record. Lineage: Eukaryota; Metazoa; Chordata; Actinopteri; Syngnathiformes; Syngnathidae. The transcript is spliced from 3 exons.